UGUGGAACUCUACGUCGCCGAUGAAGCGCAUGCUGGAAGCCUAGCACCGGCUAGUCCCAGCUGUGUCCCGGCUAUCGUCGUACAACGACCGAAGAUCAUACACUUUUAUUAUUAUUGCUUUGUCAUAAACUGCUAUAAACUUUAAUCGAUGCGGAUAACUAUACUCUAUUCAACGAGAAAGGUCAGUAGAGGUAAACAGGACGAUCACAUGUUAGACGUCCAACAGAUGCAAGCAACGUGAGUUAUUGACUGACGGAUGUUGAGUCGAGGGGCAGAUUUACCUGGCUCAUUGCUAAAGCUCCCUUCGACCUCUCGGGCUUAUGACACGGACGAUAACACUGUCAAACGUAUCACGAAACACGGAGAUAAAUCUGCGUUGUUUCCAUCAUUUGAAAAAGGAUUGUCUUUAAACAAGAGAAUAAAGAAUUUCAAGAAUUCUAUCCGGGAAAUAGUGCAACAUUUAAAAGUCUGCGGACUCUUCUCGUUGAACAGAGUAUAGCAUUGACCUUUAAGCGAAGCUCUGUUAAUGAAUAACAUUUUACUUACAGUAGCGCAAUCCAUAACCCGAGCUAUCCAUCAAGCUAUAGUAUAUCCUUCAUCUUGCUACUACCACGGAUUACAAUCCACCCUAUAUAUAUAUAUGUAGGAUUAAGUUCCCAAAUGGUGCCACCUUUAUUUUGAUCAGUAAUACGACCUUUUUAUUUCAACACUCCGAGGACAUUUGCGUAGGCGCGUGCGCGUUUUGCCAGCUUUCAAGACGAGAAGAAAUCUUCCCACUCAUUAUGCUCCUGUCUUCUUCUCCUUUCCGGCACGCAAUCUGAGUGUGGCGUUAGUCACACACAGGCUGAGGUACACUUGAAUAUCUCGAUCGUUAUUGGUGACAGAAAAAAAUAAAUUUUUAUGGUGUCGUGUAGCACAUAAUUUCAUGUAAACAUUUCUUUAGGUAAACCCGUACAGGUCAUGUGAAAAUCCACUUAAUGAUAUGAUAACGAUACGAAAUGAUAUGUUUUUAUGUACCAUUUAGUGGAGAAUAAUUUAAUUUACGCGAGCGACCGAAUACUUUAUUUCAUGCAAUGGCGAUUUGUUAAUGUACCAGUACACUGCUGCUUCAAAUGUUCAAAAUGGAGAGCUUGAGCGUCGAUGCAUGAUCUAAAGCGUUAUGAGAGCAAUAUCACGGCAUGUCGAAUUCGGUUCGGAUUAAUAGAGGAUUUUUAUUUAUGGGGAAAAUUAAA
Molecule: long non-coding RNA, 1232 nt
Organism: Bombus terrestris (buff-tailed bumblebee)
Lineage: Eukaryota; Metazoa; Arthropoda; Insecta; Hymenoptera; Apidae
Exons: 3
Source: RefSeq, a predicted model, not a curated record